Molecule: ribosomal RNA, 362 nt
Filed under: Klebsiella pneumoniae
Lineage: Bacteria; Pseudomonadati; Pseudomonadota; Gammaproteobacteria; Enterobacterales; Enterobacteriaceae
Description: bacterial SSU rRNA
Rfam family: Bacterial small subunit ribosomal RNA
Source: RNAcentral
ACGUCAAAUCAUCAUGCCCCUUAUGUCCAGGGCUUCACACAUGCUACAAUGGUCGGUACAACGCGUGUGCGAUCCUGUGAGGGUGUGCUAAUCGCUGAAAGCCGGUCGUAGUUCGGAUUGGGGUCUGCAACUCGACCCCAUGAAGUCGGAGUCGCUAGUAAUCGCAGAUCAGCAACGCUGCGGUGAAUACGUUCCCGGGCCUUGUACACACCGCCCGUCACGUCAUGAAAGUUGGUAACACCCGAAGCCCAUGGCCCAAACUUGUUAGGGAGUGGUCGAAGGUGGGCUCGGCGAUUGGGACGAAGUCGUAACAAGGUAGCCGUACCGGAAGGUGCGGCUGGAUCACCUCCUUUCUAAGGAGC